This 445-nucleotide unclassified non-coding RNA is filed under the name Hevea brasiliensis (rubber tree). Lineage: Eukaryota; Viridiplantae; Streptophyta; Magnoliopsida; Malpighiales; Euphorbiaceae. The record is from RNAcentral.
UUUGUUAUUCACAAAAGUUCAUGAAAGAUUUUAUUCAAGGCAGCUAGACUUACUACGUGUUUCUCCUAGUGCUUAUGUAUCAGGGUAAUCAGCUCACUGACUGAUUACAUACUCUUACAAUAACCGUACUCAAGUCCUACACACAGCUCAUCUUUAAGUAGUCCUAACCCACGGUGCUCAGCAGCAAACUCUACCCCCUUCUGUCAUUUAUUUAUUUUAUAUAUAACUACCGAUAACGUCAAGUUAAACCUGACUACAAGUUUACUAUGACUAAAUACUAGAUAAUGCCGGGUAAUGUCUACUUCCUGAACACCAUUCACAGGUACAUAUACAAGCUCUUUUCAAGUGACACGACCCCAAACAGUUCUUCCUUGGCCACGCCCACCACGUGCAUUGUCAUAUCCUCUUCCACGGUAUGAUUGUUGAACCCCCCCUGACAUGCGAG